Molecule: long non-coding RNA, 253 nt
Filed under: Gossypium raimondii (Peruvian cotton)
Lineage: Eukaryota; Viridiplantae; Streptophyta; Magnoliopsida; Malvales; Malvaceae
Description: long non-coding RNA (GRAI_LNC006517)
Source: RNAcentral
AAGUGUCAGACCUCGGGAGAUAAAUCCGUUGACGAAGUGGAGGCGGCGGCGCGCAGGCUAGGGUUUUUUUCUAAAGUAGUUUAGGCUUUUGGGCCAUUGGGCCAUUAGGUUUUUUUAUUUUUGGGCCAUUUGGGCUUGAUGUUUUCUGUAAAUGGACUGUUGUAUUUUGGACUUUGUAAUUGGGUUUGUAAAUUUUCAUUUUUAUUAUUUUUGGUUUAUGUUUUGCCCCAGGCUAAAUUGGGCAUCUACAGUU